UAAUCUGCGAUAAGCGCCGGUAAGGUGAUAUGAACCGUUAUAACCGGCGAUACCCGAAUGGGGAAACCCAGUGUGAUUCGUCACACUAUCAUUAACUGAAUCCAUAGGUUAAUGAGGCGAACCGGGGGAACUGAAACAUCUAAGUACCCCGAGGAAAAGAAAUCAACCGAGAUUCCCCCAGUAGCGGCGAGCGAACGGGGAGGAGCCCAGAGCCUGAAUCAGCAUGUGUGUUAGUGGAAGCGUCUGGAAAGGCGCGCGAUACAGGGUGACAGCCCCGUACACAAAAGCGCAUGUGCUGUGAGCUCGAUGAGUAGGGCGGGACACGUGGUAUCCUGUCUGAAUAUGGGGGGACCAUCCUCCAAGGCUAAAUACUCCUGACUGACCGAUAGUGAACCAGUACCGUGAGGGAAAGGCGAAAAGAACCCCGGCGAGGGGAGUGAAAAAGAACCUGAAACCGUGUACGUACAAGCAGUGGGAGCACCCUUCGGGGUGUGACUGCG
This 500-nucleotide ribosomal RNA is filed under the name Salmonella enterica subsp. enterica serovar Typhimurium. RNAcentral's name for it is "partial 23S ribosomal RNA". It matches the Rfam family "Bacterial large subunit ribosomal RNA", at positions 62 to 601 of the family's 2925-position model. The record is from RNAcentral. Lineage: Bacteria; Pseudomonadati; Pseudomonadota; Gammaproteobacteria; Enterobacterales; Enterobacteriaceae.